GCCCAGGUAGCUCAGUUGGUAGAGCAGGGGAUUGAAAAUCCCCGUGUCGGCGGUUCGAUUCCGUCCCUGGCGCA
This 74-nucleotide transfer RNA is filed under the name Pseudomonas aeruginosa. RNAcentral's name for it is "tRNA-Phe". It matches the Rfam family "tRNA". From Rfam's summary of the family: Transfer RNA (tRNA) molecules are approximately 80 nucleotides in length. Their secondary structure includes four short double-helical elements and three loops (D, anti-codon, and T loops). The record is from RNAcentral. Lineage: Bacteria; Pseudomonadati; Pseudomonadota; Gammaproteobacteria; Pseudomonadales; Pseudomonadaceae.